Molecule: ribosomal RNA, 253 nt
Filed under: uncultured bacterium
Lineage: Bacteria
Description: partial 16S ribosomal RNA
Rfam family: Bacterial small subunit ribosomal RNA
Source: RNAcentral
UACGUAGGGCGCAAGCGUUGUCCGGAAUUAUUGGGCGUAAAGAGCUCGUAGGCGGCCUGUUGCGUCCGCUGUGAAAUCCCGGGGCUCAACCCCGGGCGUGCAGUGGAUACGGGCUGGCUGGAGGCAGGCAGGGGAGAACGGAAUUCCUGGUGUAGCGGUGAAAUGCGCAGAUAUCAGGAGGAACACCGAUGGCGAAGGCAGAUCUCUGGGCCGUUACUGACGCUGAGGAGCGAAAGCGUGGGGAGCGAACAGG